UGCCCCAUGGCUGAGUUGGUUACAGCGUCCGACUGUUACUACAAACGUAUUCAUUAGAUGUUGUACGGUGCAUCGGAAGGUCGAGAGUUCGAGCCUCUCUGGGGCAG
Molecule: non-coding RNA, 107 nt
Organism: Lentinula edodes (shiitake mushroom)
Lineage: Eukaryota; Fungi; Basidiomycota; Agaricomycetes; Agaricales; Omphalotaceae
Source: the annotation of a RefSeq genome assembly